RNAcentral lists this unclassified non-coding RNA (1271 nucleotides) under uncultured Neocallimastigales. RNAcentral describes it as "partial contains internal transcribed spacer 1, 5.8S ribosomal RNA, internal transcribed spacer 2, and large subunit ribosomal RNA". The stretch from base 550 to 1271 matches the Rfam family "Eukaryotic large subunit ribosomal RNA", at positions 1 to 622 of the family's 3401-position model. Lineage: Eukaryota; Fungi; Neocallimastigomycota; Neocallimastigomycetes; Neocallimastigales. The record is from RNAcentral.
UAAAUAAUCCUACCCUUUGUGAUUUGUUUGUUUGAAUAAUUUUUUUUUUAAAAAUUAUUGGAGUCUUCCCUUUAGAGUUGCUUUGAGUUGUAAAGAAUUCGAAACAUCUAAGGGAUGGUCAAUAAUUUUUUUGAAAAAGACAUUUUUAAAAUUAAACUUUUGUAUUCAUUGUCUAAAAUAUUUUUAUAAUAUAAAACAACUUUGACAAUGGAUCUCUUGGUUCUCGCAACGAUGAAGAACGCAGCAAAAUGCGAAAGUAGUGUGAAUUGCAGAAUACGUGAAUCAUCGAACUUGAACGCAUAUUGCACUUUUUUAGUUACUAAAAGUAUGUCUGUUUGAGUAUCAGUAAAAUUCUCAUAAAUCAUUGUGUAUUUUAUGGUUAUGAGUGUUUUACAACGAUACAAGUGUUUCACUUUAAAUUUUUUUAUAUUGAAAUUUUCUAAUUUUAAUAAUUAAAAUUGGAUAAAAUUUUCCCGUCAAAGGAAUAACCUAAACAAUUUUAAAUGAUAUUUAGCAAAUUUCGAAAAAGGAAAAUUUUAUUAAAUAACUUGAUCUCAAAUCAGAUAAGAGUACCCGCUGAACUUAAGCAUAUCAAUAAGCGGAGGAAAGAAACUAACAAGGAUUCCUUAGUAACGGCGAGUGAAGCGGAAGAGCUCAAAUUUGAAAUCUCAGGUUUACCUUGACGAUUGUAGUUUAAAGAAGUGUUUUCUGCUGAAGUUUUGGUAAAAGUUCUUUGAUAGGACAUCAUAGAGGGUGAGAAUCCCGUAUUGACCAUUAUUUCAGCUUGUGAUACACUUUCAAGAGUCGGAUUGUUUGGAAUGCAGUCCAAAUGGGUGGUAAUUCAUCUAAGCUAAUAUUGGCGAGAGACCGAUAGCGAACAAGUACCGUGAGGAAGAUGAAAGAACUUUGAAAGAGAGUUAACAGUACGUGAAAUUGUCAAAAGGAAGCGUUGACCCAGUGUGUUUUCUCGAAAUCAUUAAAAAUGGCUCGAUUUGUAUGCUGGACCUUAAAAGCUCACUGUACUUUUCGUGUCUUUUUAAUGCACUUUCGUUUAACAAGUCAACAUCAGUUUCUUUUGUUGUAAAGGGUCAUUGGAAGGUGGCUUCUUUUCGGAGAAAGUGUUAUAGCCUUGGCCUCUGCAAUCGAGGACUGAGGUCUGCAGCGUAGACUCUUCGGGUUAGAUACAUUGUGCAAGUUAUAGCUUUAUAGACACUGUUGACUAUAUAGUCUUGUAGCUUACUCGCUUAUGCUAUUUACCUACGCUUAGGAUG